This 583-nucleotide long non-coding RNA is filed under the name Setaria italica (foxtail millet). RNAcentral's name for it is "long non-coding RNA (SITA_LNC000624)". Lineage: Eukaryota; Viridiplantae; Streptophyta; Magnoliopsida; Poales; Poaceae. The record is from RNAcentral.
UGGCGAACCAGGCGACGUCGCGGCUGGCGGGCCACGGGAACGGGGUCCGGUACCCGCGCGGCGCCGGGACGAGGCACCGCAGCCGCUCCCGCUCCGACGCCGGGCAGUGCCGCUCCCGGUACACCAGCCGGUCCCGCGGGUACCGCAGCGACCGCUCCACGUCCUCGCACGGGGUGUACUCCGAGUACUUGACGGGGCACGCGGGGUACCUCCGCGGCGCCGCCGAGGACGAGGACGAGGACGAGGAGCCGGACGAGGCGGCGGCGGCGGCGACCGCCUCGUCCGCGGCCGCCGCGUGGUGCGCGGAGAAGUCGAGGGGCCGGGAUUGGGUGCGGGAGCGGGCGGACGAGGUCUUCUUCCUCGGGGCGGCGGUGGUGGUGCAGGCGACGGCGGUGGCGAUGGAGACGGCGGGGGACUCGGACGGGGAGGCGAAGCCGCCGUGCUGCCAGACGCCGAGGAGGUAGGAGGCGGAGCAGAGGAGGAGGACGGCCACGAACGGCAGGAACGUGGGGCGCCGGGCGGCCGAGGGCGGGAUGUGCAGCUUCGUCGCCGCCGAGCGGACCCCCAUUGCGCUGCCUGCCUG